UCCCUCACCAUCCUUU
RNAcentral lists this small RNA (16 nucleotides) under Arabidopsis thaliana (thale cress). RNAcentral's name for it is "ATSL051430". The record is from RNAcentral. Lineage: Eukaryota; Viridiplantae; Streptophyta; Magnoliopsida; Brassicales; Brassicaceae.